RNAcentral lists this ribosomal RNA (465 nucleotides) under Vreelandella stevensii. RNAcentral describes it as "partial 16S ribosomal RNA". It matches the Rfam family "Bacterial small subunit ribosomal RNA", at positions 338 to 795 of the family's 1533-position model. Lineage: Bacteria; Pseudomonadati; Pseudomonadota; Gammaproteobacteria; Oceanospirillales; Halomonadaceae. The record is from RNAcentral.
CCUACGGGUGGCAGCAGUGGGGAAUAUUGGACAGUGGGCGAAAGCCUGAUCCAGCCAUGCCGCGUGUGUGAAGAAGGCCUUCGGGUUGUAAAGCACUUUCAGUGGGGAAGAAAGCCUUGGGGCUAAUACCCUCGAGGAAGGACAUCACCCACAGAAGAAGCACCGGCUAACUCCGUGCCAGCAGCCGCGGUAAUACGGAGGGUGCGAGCGUUAAUCGGAAUUACUGGGCGUAAAGCGCGCGUAGGCGGUCUGAUAAGCCGGUUGUGAAAGCCCCGGGCUCAACCUGGGAACGGCAUCCGGAACUGUCAGGCUAGAGUGCAGGAGAGGAAGGUAGAAUUCCCGGUGUAGCGGUGAAAUGCGUAGAGAUCGGGAGGAAUACCAGUGGCGAAGGCGGCCUUCUGGACUGACACUGACGCUGAGGUGCGAAAGCGUGGGUAGCAAACAGGAUUAGAUACCCCUGUAGUC